UGGUGUUCAUACGGUUUUACUUUUCACUUUACCCUUUCGUCCUCGACAUGUCCUUUAUUAGUGGAAAUCAAUUUUACUUUAAACAGUACUAUCGUCUGUCACAAAAGGAAAUGACCAAGGUCUUUGGAACAGAUAAUUUUGGCAGCACUGUUCCCAAAUCCCAAAGGAAUAUCUUGAUUCGAAAGUGGAGAAUCUUAGGUAGAUAGAUCAUGAUAAGCCUUUCUCAUCCAGAGAAGAAAACGGGUGGACAGACUAGUAGGACGUACGGGAAUGCAGGUACCAGUCACGGAAAUGGAGCUCUCCUGGACCAUUAUUUAUGUUGCUUUCUUUAUUUUCUUUUGCAGGUUAUGGGAAGAAAAGAGCGGCUAAUAAGCCAUGCUUGAAAUCCUUCCAUUUUGCCACUUGGAUAUUUGGUCAUACGACCAUUGUCUCAUUGAUACAUGCUAUGUAUUGCUAAUAAGCUGGAUCAGUGGGGUGUGGGCACACUACUUGCAUGGGCGCCACUGCGAGAUCUCUCGUAGUUGACCGAUGGGAGUCAACACGUUGUUGCCUAGAUUUGGAGCUCUUGUCAACGCACUAGGUACGGUUGACAGAUCAAGGCAGCAAGUCGUGAGUCAACGUCCACUCGUCCAGUUGAUCCAUUGACUACUGUCCGGGGACAACGUAAGGCCAAUAACUGAUUAGUGUUGGAAGAGACUGUAAGGACAGGUGCUCGAUCGUUUCGGUCAAGUGACAAAGGAAGGAGGGUCAACCAUUGUGCAUAACAAACUUUACUCUUGAAAGGAGGUUGAAAUCUCCGGUCUCUACAUCAAAAAGAUGCACACAUCCAUGAAACAGUACUUGUAUUGAUGUGACCGCUGGCUAUGUGGCAAAACCACGUGGAAACGACGCCAAGCGCGUGUAACUAAGGGUCUGUUUGGUUAGAUACCUGAGCUACGUGCCUGACAAAAUGGUGUGCCUGAGAGUAGCCUGUGAAUUUGAUAAUUCUUGCCUGGCCAGGCAUGGACCAAAAUUGUUGUUUGGUUUGAGCUACUCUGAAGCCGGUGCCUGAUGGAAAACGUAAACGAUUGGAACACGCAUUCAAUGUUGAGAAAACGUAAAGAACUGAAAUACGCUUUGUUCAUCUCUCUUCUAGUCCCAAAUCUACUCUGUUCCAUGAGUUCCCUGUGAGUCUGUGACACUCCCCAAGUUCUUCUGAACCACCUAAUCUAGUUCUCCUAACAGAAACCAUGAGCACAAGUGUCCAAUUGAAGCUACAGCAACCCGUAACAAACCAUGACCACACGAGAUCCAGAUCCAACUAUGAAC
This is a long non-coding RNA of Brachypodium distachyon (stiff brome), 1308 nucleotides long. RefSeq lists it as uncharacterized. NCBI's taxonomy places the organism in Eukaryota, Viridiplantae, Streptophyta, Magnoliopsida, Poales, Poaceae. The transcript is spliced from 3 exons. The record is from RefSeq and is a predicted model, not a curated record.